Molecule: long non-coding RNA, 250 nt
Filed under: Micromonas commoda
Lineage: Eukaryota; Viridiplantae; Chlorophyta; Mamiellophyceae; Mamiellales; Mamiellaceae
Description: long non-coding RNA (MCOM_LNC000143)
Source: RNAcentral
AACUGCGAGGACAUCAUCCCCGAGUUCCUCUCCUUUGUCAAGGGCAUCGUCGACUCUGAGGACCUUCCCCUCAACAUCUCCCGCGAGAUGCUCCAGCAGAACAAGAUCCUCAAGGUCAUCAAGAAGAACAUCGUCAAGAAGUGCCUCGAGAUGUUCAACGAGAUCGCCGAGAACAAGGACGACUACACCAAGUUCUACGAGGCGUUCGGCAAGAACCUCAAGCUCGGCAUCCACGAGGAUGCGCAGAACC